This 119-nucleotide long non-coding RNA is filed under the name Dermacentor andersoni. RNAcentral describes it as "uncharacterized LOC126528324". The record is from RNAcentral. Lineage: Eukaryota; Metazoa; Arthropoda; Arachnida; Ixodida; Ixodidae.
ACAGGCGCCAAGGAGCCAGUCCGCGGCGAAGCAGGAGCUCGCCGCGAAGAGGCUGGCGGUGAGUACCUUGGUCAAACACCAAGAACCAUGACUUUGAAAGUACGAGUUCCUGAAGUAUG